UUCCGGUUGAUCCCGCCGGAGGCUACCGCUAUUGGAGUUCGAUUAAGCCAUGCGAGUCGCGAGACUUAGAAUCUCGGCGUACCGCUCAGUAACACGUGGGUAACCUGCCCUAUGCUAGGGGAUAACCUCGGGAAACUGAGAAUAAUACCCUAUAGUUCACCACGCCUGGAACGGUGGGUGGAUGAAAGCUCCGGCGGCAUAGGAUGGGCCUGCGGCGUAUCAGGUUGUAGGGGGUGUAAUGUACCCUCUAGCCAUCUACGCGUACGGGUGUUGGGAGACAUCGCCCGGAGAUGGAUUCUGAGACACGAAUCCAGACCCUACGGGGUGCAGCAGGCGCGAAAACUUGGCAAUGCGAGAAAUCGUGACCAGGGAACUCCAAGUGCAUCGGGUAAGACCGAUGCUUUUCUUGACUCUUCAAAGGUCUUGGAAUAAGGGGUGGGUAAGGACGGUGCCAGCCGCCGCGGUAAUACCGGCGCCUCAAGUGGUAGUCGCUUUUAUUGGGCCUAAAACGUCCGUAGCCGGUUUGGUACAUUCGUGGGUAAAUCAAGGCGCUCAACGUCUUGAAUUCUGCGAGCACGGCCAGACUUGGGACCGGGUGAGGUGUGGGGUACUCUCAGGGUAGGGGUAAAAUCCUGUCAUCCUGAGAGGACCACCUGUUGCGAAGGCGCCACACUAGAACGGAUCCGACGGUCAGGGACGAAGCCUAGGGGCACGAACCGGAUUAGAUACCCGGGUAGUCCUAGGUGUAAACGCUGUGGACUUGAUGUUGGGAGUGCUCCGAGCACCCUCAGUGUCGAAGCGAAGGUGAUAAGUCCACUGCCUGGGGAGUACGGUCGCAAGGCUGAAACUUAAAGGAAUUGGCGGGGGAGCACUGCAACCUGAGGAUUGUGCGGUUUAAUUGGAUUCAACGCCGG
Molecule: ribosomal RNA, 914 nt
Filed under: uncultured marine archaeon
Lineage: Archaea
Description: bacterial SSU rRNA
Rfam family: Archaeal small subunit ribosomal RNA
Source: RNAcentral